GCGUAAUAGCUUACUGGCCGAGAUUUAAAGCGCCGUAAAUGAACGGGAAUAAGAUAUUCGCCGAAGCCGCGGGAUCCAAGCAAUUGGAUCGGUAGAGGAGCGUUGCUGUCAGCAGUGAAGGUCGAUCGGAAGAACGGCUGGAGCGGCAGCAAGUGCGUAUGUCGGCAUGAGUAACGAUAAAGCAGGUGAAAAUCCUGCUCGCCGUAAGUCUGAGGUUUCCUGGGGAAGGUAAAUCCGCCCAGGGUUAGUCGGGUCCUUAGUUAAGGCCGAAAGGCGUAGACGAUGGACAGCGGGUUAAUAUUCCCGCACCGUACAUGAAGGUUGAUGGAAACGUGACGCUGUAACGGAGUCGGUCACCCGGUUAGACGUGGGUGUGCCGCAAGGCCCAGGCCCUGGAUGCCAAAGCCGGCAAAGUUGCAGCCUAGAAAAGCCGUUUCCGGACAACAUGUAUGCCCGUACCACAAACUGACACAGGUAGACGAGGCGAAUAGCCUCAGGCGCUCGAGACAACUCCCUUUAAGGAACUAGGCAAUUUUCCCCCGUAAGUUCGCGAUAAGGGGUGCCCAUCGCAAGAUGGGCCGCAGAGAAAA
Molecule: ribosomal RNA, 590 nt
Filed under: mine drainage metagenome
Description: bacterial LSU rRNA
Rfam family: Bacterial large subunit ribosomal RNA
Source: RNAcentral